AUUUGGAGUCUCUGGACACUACUUGGGAGAUGUGGAAGGCAGUGAAAAAUACAACUAUGUUGCUGCUAGGUAUUUAAAGAGCUGUAAGUCAAAUUCAUAAUUUAUUGCUGCAAUAUAUAAAUUUGCUGCUCAUGUUUUUACAGUGGAACUUUCCUUUACAAAUAUUCCAGAAGGUGGAAAAGGUGUGUUUAUCUGCCCUCUGCUGGAAACACACAGUAAAAAUCCAGCACUGCCAGCACUCACCUGCAGAGCAGAAAUGGUUCCCUCUCCACACACAGAAGAGAAGCUUCAUCGUGGAUUCAGCAGACAGAACAUGGGAGGUGGAUUUUUUUUAAUGUACCUAGUCAAAAUAAAAUUUGUCUUAUUUGUCCAGUAUCAGUUUUACUCUGGGGUCCUAUCUAAUCCCACUUAAACCACAGUAAAUAUAUCUUUAUGGAAAUGAGGGGAACUAUACUAUUACAAAACUGUCCAAAAGAAAUCUGAAUUAUAUCGUUAGAAAUGUACCUGGUAAAACAUGGAUUGCUAUGUUCAGAGAUGGACACAUUUUACAUAUACUAUGUGCAUGUCUGUGGAAACAAACUACUGAUCCAAGGGGAUGAAAUCCUAAAUGAACUGAAAUU
Oxyura jamaicensis (ruddy duck) is the source of this 620-nucleotide long non-coding RNA. RefSeq lists it as uncharacterized. The transcript has 2 exons. NCBI's taxonomy places the organism in Eukaryota, Metazoa, Chordata, Aves, Anseriformes, Anatidae. The record is from RefSeq and is a predicted model, not a curated record.